RNAcentral lists this long non-coding RNA (1041 nucleotides) under Astyanax mexicanus (Mexican tetra). RNAcentral's name for it is "lncRNA (ENSAMXG00005008803.1)". Lineage: Eukaryota; Metazoa; Chordata; Actinopteri; Characiformes; Acestrorhamphidae. The record is from RNAcentral.
UUUUAGUACUAGAGCCACUGAGGCAAAGUAACAGCUAUUUUUAAUAAUUUAAUGUACCGUAUUUUUCGGACUAUAAGGCGCACUUAAAAACUUUUAAUUUUCACAAAAAUUGACAGUGCGUCUUAUAAUACGGUGCGCCUUUUGUAUGGAUUUUACCCGUCAGGUUGUAAGGAGCAGUAAACACACACUCGGUGCAGCGUUAUAGAGAGUUUCAGUGCUAUACAGAGUCCAGAGCCGUGCAGCUCCGAGGCUGGAGCAGCAAUAGCAUUAGCUAGCUUAUUCACUGUUCAGAGAUCAGUAUUAUCUAAAUUAUCUAAAGUAAACACACACUCCGUGCAGAGCCGUGCAGCUCCGUGGCUGGAGCAGCAAUAGCAUUAGCUAGAUGCUAACCGCUAAGCUAGCUAGCUUUUUCACUGUUCAGAGAUCAGUAUUAUCUAAAUGUAGUACUUUUAAUACUGCUGGAGCAGUAUUAUUAGAGUUAGAUGCUAAUCGCUAAGCGUUCACCGUUCAGAGGACACCAUUAAGAAACUGAGAGAUGAAAAUGCCUACCUUCAACACAGACUGGAGAACAUCACUCAAGCACUGCGUGAGCUGAGGAACCUGAUCUUGGAUCACUCGAAAGACGGAGGAUUCUCAGGGACCAGUGUAGACCAUAAGAGUGAGCAGCUGCAUGCCUGGAAUGAAUGGAUUCGAAAUGGUAUCAGUGCUGAGACGCAUGUCAUGUUGCAGCAGGCAUUCUGUUGGAGUGAUCUUCAUAGCUCUGCUGAUCUAUGGCUGCCAAUACACUUAUGUCUUAUUCUUCUUUCUUGCAACUUCUUGUUUAACUUCUUGUUAAUUUAGCAGGAGUUCAUAACUGUGUACACUGAUUACAGCCUGUUUACUGGCCAAUCAACAGGCCUAACAUUUUUAUUAUUAGUUUACUGUUUGAUCAUUUGAAUUUGUAGUAUAUUUAGUGUUUAGUGAUUAGUAUAGAGUUUUAUAUACAUUUUUGCAAUCAAUGCUGCAAUGUAAAAGUUUUGUAAUUUGAAUAAAAAUAUGGAU